This 239-nucleotide ribosomal RNA is filed under the name uncultured bacterium. Its description in RNAcentral is "partial 16S ribosomal RNA". It matches the Rfam family "Bacterial small subunit ribosomal RNA", at positions 15 to 236 of the family's 1533-position model. The record is from RNAcentral.
GAUCCUGGCUUAGGAUGAACGCUGGCGGCGUGCUUAACACAUGCAAGUCGAGCGAAGCGCUUAAGUUUGAUUCUUCGGAUGAAGACUUUUGUGACUGAGCGGCGGACGGGUGAGUAACGCGUGGGUAACCUGCCUCAUACAGGGGGAUAACAGUUAGAAAUGACUGCUAAUACCGCAUAGGACCACGGUACCGCAUGGUACAGUGGUAAAAACUCCGGUGGUAUGAGAUGGACCCGCGU